Molecule: long non-coding RNA, 592 nt
Organism: Perognathus longimembris pacificus (Pacific pocket mouse)
Lineage: Eukaryota; Metazoa; Chordata; Mammalia; Rodentia; Heteromyidae
Exons: 3
Source: RefSeq, a predicted model, not a curated record
GGGCCCGGGCACUAUCCCUAAGCUUCUUUUGCUCAAGGCUAGCACUCUACCACUUAAGCCACAGUGCCACUUCCAGCUUUUUCUGGCAUGUGGUACUGAGGAAUUGAAACCAGGUUGUUUGAAGGAUAUAGAGCCAGAAAUGCAGAGGGGUAGCUAGAAUCAGAUUUAUAUCUUCACACCAUUAUGAUAGCAUGAUACCUUUGGGGAGACGACGACUGGGGUUUGAACUCAAGGCCUUGUACUUGCUAGCCAGGUGCUCUCUCACUUGAGCUGCACUCCCCGCUCCUUUUUUUCCUUUUGUGUAUAAGAUCUUGCUGUGUGCAGUCCUGGUCUAUAACUAACUGUCCUCCUGCCUCAGCCUCCUAAGUGUUCGGAUUAUAGGUAUGAGAUAUGCCUGGCUUGCAUGUUACAUUUUAACCAAAGUUUGGAUGUCCAACUUUUUAUAGAAAUGACUUCAAAUGCCAUAUGAAUCAAAAUGACAUAACGCUGUGUCAGCUGUAACCGUUAAUGGUUAUAACAAUGGUUAAGAGUCAGUCUAUUGGGCUGGGAAUAUGGCCUAGUGGUAAAGUACUCACCUCAUAUACAUGAAGCC